Molecule: long non-coding RNA, 1853 nt
Organism: Protopterus annectens (West African lungfish)
Lineage: Eukaryota; Metazoa; Chordata; Ceratodontiformes; Protopteridae
Exons: 2
Source: RefSeq, a predicted model, not a curated record
CUGGCAAUCAUUGCAUUCAAUUAAUGCCAUUAAGGUUCUACACGUUCUAGCAAACAUCGGUGCACAGUGACUGACAACAACGCUGCUUAGACUAGUACCCAAAAAAAUGUACAAUUCUAUUCUUCUGCCUGCAGCGAAGGACUACCCGUUAGAAUAAGGUUUUAACCACUCUAUCUGACAGAGGGAGCUGUUCCAAGUGCUCGCACCACUUUACUAAACGGAGAAGAUCCAUUAAAGGUGUGGGUAUUUCCAAAGAGCGCAGACGUGUGACUGCUGCAAGCCUAUUUCGGAGAAGCUUGCGAACGAAAGAAUGAAACACAAUCGGAAAGCGUAAGCCUUAAUCCUGGAGAAAUCGGCACAAUUUACAAUAACAUUCUUAAAAUAUAUUCUCCUGACGUGUGGACAUGAUGAAAUGCACCUCUACAAUGGAAUUGUAGCUGUAAACAUCUUUCUGCAAAUCACUUCUAAAAUAGAAUAAAUCAGUCACGUGAGAUGGUCGAAAGAACAGCAUAGAAGGCAAUCUGAACCUCCAGUGAUGCAUAGAGGCAUGAUACAUUAUUACAGUUCUAUUUUCCACUAAUGAAUUUAUUCUUUUUUGCUUUGAUUUUUUUUCUUAUGAGCCUUUUAAAUCUCAUAUUCUUUCUGCUGUGUGUUUAUAAUGUACUUAACAUUUUAAAACUGACCCCCAGAUUUUGUCAUUUAUUAUCUGUAAAUUAUUAACUUCUGUUUUUGUAUUUGUCAGAAUGUCUCAAGCACUGUACUUCAUGAUGAAACUUUCUAAUUGGUUUUAUUUUGUCUUUAUAUUCUCCCAGGAUGUGUUUAAAAUCAGGCAUAUGUGUGUUGUGGCACAUCUUAAUGAGUAAAAAUAGAAGCGGAGAAGUUAGGGGUGGUAAUUGGAAUAGAGUAUUCUACAGCUGACCAGACCAGAAGAAGGAAGAAGAAAUUUACAAAAAGAAAAUUAGCCUGAAAAUUCUAAUACCAAUGUUUGUGUGAUUAACUGCAACAUGAUCUCGCCUUUCCCUUCUCAGGGAAACGUUAGUAAGUUAGAUCACUAAUAUCCCAAGGAAAGGUAACAGUGGGCUUCUUGAAACCACCAGGCAGUAGCUAUCUCCAGGAUCUGACUACUUGAGAGUGUAUCUGCUGAACAUAACAGGAAAGUGGUUCAUUAAACCUUUGCAGUAAAAGAAAUAUUGUUGAAAUAUAAUAAGCAGAUUUACCAUUUUUGGAAUGAUACUAACACCUCUUGACAGCCAAACUGACAGGAUUAGAGGCUAAGAAGUGCAAACCAGGCAGGUUAGCUUCAGUGUUAAGGAAAUAUUUUUGGGCAUUAACAAAGAAAUGCUAAAGUAUAAUAUGAUAUUAUGCAGCAUGGCUUAUAUCUCACAAUAAGACGUUUUCUAACAGAGUCUCUAGUAUGGCAUAAGACGUAGGAAUGCCUUUCACAAAGUAUCCCAUGGUUUACUUAGCAGGUUAUCGGAACGGGAACUGAACCUAAAUACAUAAACUUGAAAGUGAUUGUUGAAGAGAAGUUUGGAAAGCUGUGGUAAACUGCUGGUACAUUGGGAAAGCAGGGGUAGCAAGUAGAAUGCUGCUGCAGUAGUGUAGUAACGCUAAGAGUAAAAGAUACUGUCAGUAUAAUUUAAUUGUUUAAAAAUACAGAUAAUGAAUGUACAUAAUAUAAACCAAAACACUACAAAUGGGAAGUGGUAAAAUUGUCUCUUUUUUUAAUUUAUAUUUUACUUACUGUGUUUGUAACCUAUGGAAAGGCCUAUUUUACAAGAGGGCCUAAGAAACAAGAUCUCCAAGAGAACUCGUUUUGUAACAGUCAAUAAAACAUACCCAAGUUAAGACAA